UCGGCGUGAAGGGUUUCCAGGGUUCGAUCUCUUUCCCCUCGCCCUUCCAGCCCCGCUAGGAUUCUCCCCGCACCCGAUCGCCUCUCCCCAUCUGGACUAGAACAUAGCCGCGCCGCUGACCUGGGACGGGGAGGGGGAGCACCACCGGCCACCGUAACGACCUGCCCGCAGGGAUCUGGCGUCGGCGUAAGUUGUCAUCUCCCCCUCGCGGUUCUUGCAUCGCGCAGCCAGGGGCCACCCCCUGGCGGUCCUGCCCUGCUCCCUCCACCCCAAGCAAUCGGCGACGACUGCCCGCGCGGCCGUGCCGUUGUGUUGCCGGCCGACUAUCCUGCGUCUCCUCUCCCCAAGGCUCCAGCACUCCUUCGCUGACCACCCUGCCUGCCGGGUUGCCGGACAGAAUUUUAUUGAGGCCAGCCACAUCACACAUAGCACGCAGGAGCUGGCCCUAUGUCAUGGCAAAAGGUAUUCAGCCUUGUCAAGGUCCAGUGGUGAUACAUAUGCUUCUCAUGGAGGAGCUGGCCCUAUGUCAUGGCAAAAUGUAUUCAGCCUUGCCAUGGUGAUACAUAUGCUUCUGCAUGCACAAGAGCCGGCCCUAUGCCAUGGCAAAAGGUGAAGGACUUCUCUCUCAUGUCACUAUUCAGAGCAUGGUAAGCAUGGCAUCAAACUCUUCGUAGAGGUUUGCCAACUGUAUGCAGGUGGUGGCGAAGGGGAUCACUUUGUUUCUUGUGGUAGUGACCACUCAUCACCUUCGUCUCAUGUGGACGAAGAGACAGUCGUCAAAGCUUAUUUGAGAUGGGCCCUAGGCUGUCGCACUUCUUGAAAUGCCUGCUGCUUGGUUCGCCCAUGCUGGUGACCUGCAAUGUAAUAUGCCCUUUUAUGCCAUAUACCCGCUGAAUCCAUCCAUGAUGUUUGCCCAUUCUUGUCAAAAGAACAAGAGAUGUAAUAAUACUCCAUUAUUUGAGCCCACUAUGCUAUUGCUAUGUGAUGUGAUUAUCUUUGAUGCCUUAUUCAGUCA
Molecule: long non-coding RNA, 1015 nt
Organism: Triticum dicoccoides
Lineage: Eukaryota; Viridiplantae; Streptophyta; Magnoliopsida; Poales; Poaceae
Exons: 2
Source: RefSeq, a predicted model, not a curated record